RNAcentral lists this ribosomal RNA (248 nucleotides) under uncultured bacterium. Its description in RNAcentral is "partial 16S ribosomal RNA". It matches the Rfam family "Bacterial small subunit ribosomal RNA", at positions 523 to 769 of the family's 1533-position model. The record is from RNAcentral.
ACACGUAGGGGGCGAGCGUUGUUCGGAAUUACUGGGCGUAAAGGGCAUGUAGGCGGUCUUGUAAGCCUGACGUGAAAGGCUAUGGCUUAACCAUGGCAUUGCGUUGGGAACUGCGGGACUUGAAUCACGGAGGGGGGAACUGGAAUUCCAGGUGUAGGGGUGAAAUCUGUAGAUAUCUGGAAGAACACCAGUGGCGAAGGCGAGUUCCUGGCCGAUGAUUGACGCUGAGGUGCGAAAGUGUGGGGAUC